UUGGAGGGCAAGUCUGGUGCCAGCAGCCGCGGUAAUUCCAGCUCCAAUAGCGUAUAUUAAAGUUGUUGCAGUUAAAAAGCUCGUAGUUGAAUUUCGGAAUCUGUCCAUCGGUCGGGCUUCACUGUUCGUACUGGUGUGGUGGGUUCUUACCUUCUGAAUAACCAGCAUGCCAUUAAUUUGGUGCGUUGGGGAAGCAGGACUAUUACCUUGAAAAAAUUAGAGUGCUCAAAGCAGGCUAGUGCCUGAAUACAUUAGCAUGGAAUAAUAAAAUAGGACGGCAUGGUUCUAUUUUGUUGGUUUCUAGGAUCACCGUAAUGAUUAAUAGGGAUAGUUGGGGGCAUUAGUAUUCAAUUGUCAGAGGUGAAAUUCUUGGAUUUAUUGGAGACUAACUUCUGCGAAAGCAUUUGCCAAGGAUGUUUUCAUUAAUCAAGAACGAAAGUUAGGGGAUCGAAGACGAUCAGAUACCGUCGUAGUCUUAACCAUAAACUAUGCCGACUAGGGAUCGGAUGAUGUUAAUUUUUUAAUGACUCAUUCGGCGCCUUACGGGAAA
This 550-nucleotide ribosomal RNA is filed under the name uncultured Glomeromycotina. RNAcentral describes it as "SSU rRNA". It matches the Rfam family "Eukaryotic small subunit ribosomal RNA", at positions 548 to 1097 of the family's 1831-position model. Lineage: Eukaryota; Fungi; Glomeromycota. The record is from RNAcentral.